Molecule: ribosomal RNA, 400 nt
Filed under: uncultured bacterium
Lineage: Bacteria
Description: bacterial SSU rRNA
Rfam family: Bacterial small subunit ribosomal RNA
Source: RNAcentral
GCCUAACACAUGCAAGUCGAACGCGACUGGGGCUUCGCCUCAGUUGAGUGGCGAACGGGUGAGUAACACGUGGGUGACCUACCUUGAAGGGGGGAUAACGUCCCGAAAGGGACGCUAAUACCGCAUAACAUCCUCUUUUGAAGGAGGUGGAGAUCAAAGCCGGGGAUCGCAAGACCUGACGUUGAAGAGGGACGCGGGUCCGAUUAGCUAGUUGGUGAGGUAACGGCUCACCCGGCAACGAUCGGUAGUCGGCCUGACAGGGCGGACGGCCACUCUGGGACGAGACACGGCCGAGACUCCUACGGGAGGAAGCAGGGGCGAAUUGGUCGCAUGGGCGCAAGCCUGACGACUCAACGCCGAGUGGAGGAUGAAGGUUUUCGAUCGUAGACUCGUGUUGGCC